CCUUCACUAGAGGCAGCAGAAAAAAAAACAACGUAAUUUAUAAAAACUUUACAACUGUAAAGUCUUUGGAUUCAUUCACUUCCCUGGCCUUUGUCACUGCCUUCCUCCAGCAUUAGCCAGCUAAGGAUUAUCUGCUGUAGCUCUAUCCAGCUUUCUCUCUCCUGCCUGCCCACUGCCUGAGCUAGAAAACCUCUUGCUGCUGCAGGCCUGGGCUCUUCAGUGACCAUCCUGCUCUGCUUCUUCAGGUAAGCCUGGUUAUUGGGCUGCUCUCCUCUGCUCAUCUUAUCCUGCCUUGUUCGGACCAGUGCUUUGAGAAGUGGUAAUUUGAUAAAUGCCUUGGUUUGUGAAGCUCGGAAAUGCACUAGUUACAGUAACAAACAAGUAUAUUUUUCUGGAAGAAAUGAACCUGUAACGGGGAGAAACCAUCUAGCUCCAAAAAGAGAAACCCUUACGAGCUUUACAGACUUCUUUUCUACUUCAACUUUUAAAAAUAUUGUGGCAAGACCAGUACCAUUAAAGACAAUGACAAGUAAACUAUCAACAUUAACAAUUACAUACUUAUAACACCCCCUGACUAUGUGCCACACUAAUCCAAACCUGGACCACCUCCUUGUCUACCUAAAAAAAUGCCUCAUAUUUAUGGAGCAGCAAAUGCUAUUUCCAUAAGAGAUUUUAACUGGAGAGUAAUCAGGCAAGUUCUUAGUCUGUUAUAUAAAGAGUGAAAAACAUCUUUAGUACAAGGUCUCAGAGACCUAUUAUGUCAGAACAAAUCAAUGACAAUAGCUAUGCUACUAUUAAACAAAACAAUACAUUAAAAUAAUGUGACAGCUAAGUCAUAAACUGUCAAAAGCUAGGAGAUUCUGAAGUUUUACUGCUGGUCACUUGCCUGAGCCCUUGUGUCUAGACAUUACAGCAGAUGAGCUGGGUUAAAAAGAAAUAAGUGCUGCAGUUCCUCUGACAGCAUGGGACACUGAAGUAUAUGAAUUGUAAAGGACUUGCUUCUCUUGCACAAAACUGGAUGGCUGCUACGAACAGCGUUGAGUAGGCAGGUGGUUUGGGCUGGACUUGGGGGAUGCUGCAGUAUAGGAUAUCAAAACCAUUUAAGGUCUGGUCUCACAUGAGUCUGAAGAUUUGAGAAGUUACCCAAACACCUGAGUUGGAAUCUUUUAUACUUUAACAGAAAUUGACAGGCUUAAGCAAAGACUCUCUGGCCUGGAAAAUGCACCUGCCCUCCUCACAAUUGCCACCUCAACAGGAAAAGUUGUGUGUGCAUGGUCACGCAGAACACCAUGGAAAACUAGAGAGCUGUGGCUCCCCAGUUCAUGCAUGUGAGGAGAGCUCAUCUGCUGCACAAAGGACUGGCACAGGUGAAGAAGGGAUAAAGGAGCUGGUGCUUGGUUGCUGAGCAACCAGAUGAUUGUGGAGUCAACUCAAGCAAGAAGCAUGCAAAAAGAAGCAGAAAGUGUGAUUGAUAAGAGGAACAGCAGAAAGAGGGACUGAAACACAGGCAGAAAAGAUGAAGACAAUAGAAACACAGCGCUAAAUCCACAAAGACAUGUUGGUGUUGCAGAGUCUUGAAUUAGGCACCCAGGCUCUCUAUACGAUAUAUGGGGAGAGUCAGGCACUUAAGAAUGGAAUUCACAGAAGCCAACACACUGAAUGGGGAGUUACCUAAGCUAGCCAGUAGGAAACACUGAGAAGAGGUGAGGGGCCUAUCCCCGAACCCUGAAAAGUCUUUAGGUCCCCAUCUCCACUCAGGAUUCACAGCUGUGAACCUGCUUCUGGAAUUAAGUGCCUAAGACAGAAAAGCUCUUUCUCACAUCAAAAGAGAGAGACACCCAGCCAUUAUAGCCAAUAGUCCAGAUUGGUGUACUCAGCUGGGAUACAGGAAACUGUUUUCAAAUCCCUGCACUACCUGGUUCAAAACAGGGACUGGAACUUAGGUCUACUAUACCCCAAGUGAGGUCCCUACCCACAAUCUACAGGGUAUUCUGGGGAAGACUGUCUCAAUCUCAACUGUUGAAGCUGUUCCACUUUGUAUUAAAUAUUAUUGGGAGUGUGUGCAUGAGAGACAGAAAGAGAUUCUAUUGCCCAGUGAUAGGGACACUCACCUGACAUGGGGGAGAAUUAGGUUCAAGUCCCUGCUCCAAUGAAUAAUCCCUUUCUACAAAUGUAUUUCAGAGUGUUGAAUAUGGUGCUAUACAGCUAUUGCUCAACGUAGACAGGCAUUAACCAAACUUUAGUCUAUGGACUCACUAUAGCUGUAUUGUCCCUCUUCCCACAAUAAGGUCCAACAAAGCUCCUUCGUGAACUGUUUCCCCCAGUUAUAAAAAUGCAUUUAGGAUUCUCAUUUCAGUUCCCCAGAAGAUGCAGUGUUGUCAUCUUUCAAGAUCCUCCCUCCCCAAACUAGGACUUGACUCUACCCAUUCUGGAUGGAAUAGAAAUGUUCCAGAGUGAAGUGCUAUGGGGAUUAGACCACUAGGGAAGUGUACAGUGGAAGGUGGAAAGGGAUUUUGCAUGAAACGACUCUGCUGUUGAGAGUGUACUGGAGCAAACUCACAAAUGGGAAGGAAACGAGAGUUCCCUGCAAGGUUCUGAACGAGUGGAGGUGGGGAGCAUAGGGGCUGCUAGUGGAAGAGGCAUGAUUGAUUAAAUGGCUGUCAGAGCAGCCAGCACAGGAAUCCUGGAGUUGGCCUUCUGCUAUAAACAAGGAAAGAUUGGAGCAUGGCUUAAAUCAGGAAUAUUUCAGAACAAAAGUUGGACUGAUGUGCUGCAUGGGAACAUGGGAGAUCAUGACAGGAGUGGGAUGAAGUUUGGUGUUUGCACCACACUUUGAAAACACCACAUAAAUAUUAACAUGUUCAAAAUAUGCCUGUAGAGAGAAGAUGCUAACACCUUGUCAUAUGAAUUAAUGCUUGUACUAAAGCUGUCAAUUACACCUACCACAAGGUCAGUUUAAAGUCAAUCUGAAUUGCACACCCACACUUCUAUAGCAUGUUGUAAACUGCUGUGUUCGCUACCCAUUCACUGUUAAUAAAGAAGAUGUGGGAAAAAAACCCUCUAUGUACCAUUUUGAAAGAGAAAAUGAGAAAUCCCAAAGAGUAAUGUAGAAGAUUCUUAGUGGGAUUUGGAUUUUUAUAGAAAAUGUAUUGUAUUACACCAAGGGGAUUCAGAGUGAAUGGAAAAUCUUUUGUGGAGUAGUUAUAGUAGAGAGAGAGAACGAUCCUCUCUCUCCCCUUCCCCCAGCUCUUCAGCUGAUGAAAACAGCAAUUGAGAACAACUUACACUCAUGCUAAUUGAUAAUUAAAGUUCUGUCACCCCAGCACACAUUUGUCUACUUAAUUACAAGUGUGAAAUCUGGCAGGUGAUACAGUUCAUAUCAAUUAACAACUUUUGAAUAGGAAGCAUAGGCUUGGAUCCAUUUCUGAGGAGUGUUCUCUUGGAAUCAGAGUAGCAGCCGUGUUAGUCUGUAUCCGCAAAAAGAACAGGAGUACUUGUGGCACCUUAGAGAUUAACAAAUGUAUUUGAGCAUAAGCUUUCGUGGGCUACAGCCCACUUCAUUGGAUGCAUAGAAUGGAACAUAUAGUGAGGAGAGAUAUAUACACAUACAGAGAACGUGAAAAGGUGGGAGUUCCCCUACCAACUCUAAGAGGCUAAUUAAUUAAGAUGAGCUAUUGUCCGGUUUGACCAAUGUACAUGGCAGAGGGGCUGGCUUAUGCUCAAAUAAAUUUGUUAGUCUCAGCAGCGGCUCCAGGCACCAAUGCUCCAAGCACAUGCCUGGGGCGGCAAGCCAUGGGGGGCGCCCUGCCGGUCCCCGCGAGGGUGGCAGUCAGACUGUCUUUGGCGGCUUGCCUGUGGGAGGUCUGCUGGU
Molecule: long non-coding RNA, 3871 nt
Organism: Gopherus flavomarginatus (Mexican gopher tortoise)
Lineage: Eukaryota; Metazoa; Chordata; Testudines; Testudinidae
Exons: 3
Source: RefSeq, a predicted model, not a curated record